AUGUAUGUGAAAGUAGAAUGUAUAUAUGUGAGAGUAGAAUAUAUAUGUAUGUGAGAGUAGAAUGUAUGUGUGUGAAAGGAGAAUGUACUGUAUAUGUGAGAGUGCCAGAAUGAAUUUUGGCUUGAUUGGCUCUUCAUAUCAGUGGCCUACAAAUAAACUGGCUUGAUUAGCUGCUUCAGAUGUGUUUGAUCAGGGUUGGGAUUAAACUCACAGUGAGUCUACAAUAAAAAGGGUUAAAGAACUGAUCAAGGAUGUAAAACUCUCUCUCUCUCUCUCUCUCUCUCUCUCUCUCACUCAAUCACUCAAUCACACACACACACACAGACUGGUGUGAGGAGGGAGGGGGUAGGGGGGUUGGACAGAGAAAGACCCUACGUCUAUGUGUGUGUGUGAAAAAUCCACAUUCAAACCAAAAUAUCUGACUUCCUGUUGGUCGCAGCUAAUGACUGUAAAUUAGAAAGUUGUCCAGCUUAAUGAGAACAAUACGUGUCCUGAGUUUGGUGACUGUAGGUUAAACUAACCCCCCCACUUUUGUCAAAAGAUGGCGCUAUAGAGGCCCUGCUCCCCACCUGUUUCUACGGCUUUGCCCGUGUCUACUAGUUGACAUCUCUGACGUUUGUAUCGAGUUUCAAUAUGUUUCAAAAUGCUUCAAUUUGAAGCAUGCUAAGUGUCUCAAAAGCAUCCAUAAUGAAAAUUAAAGUUUGAUGCGUUGCCAUGGCAACAGUGUUUGAGAUAUCAUGAUUCUUUUCACAGGUCUAUAUCUGCUGUGUAUUGACAUUACACCGAUGAAGUUUGAAACAAAACAGGUCAACAUAGAUCUGCAACCUGCAAACUAAAUCUGACAACACACAAAUUACUUUUCAACAUCAUUUUGCAUGGCUUAACAUUCUUACCCCACUGGGAAAAAAAAUAAAGUGAACUAUGACAUAAUUUGAGCACUGUAUUCAAUUUGAUGUUGUUUGUUGUUAUGAAGUGACAUCUCAAUAUUUCAAAAGAUUCUGCAUGUUGUCAACUUCUUAACAGUAAUGCACUGUAUCUUAUGUGUAAUCCUGCUUUAUUGUCACUGUUACAUGUCAAUCAGAUAUGUUGAUUAGUAUAAACCCAUAAUGCUAUAUUUAUUUAUUGUAUUCUUUGUGAUCAAGAAAAGUGUAAAAUAAACACAAACUGACAUUU
Long non-coding RNA from Megalobrama amblycephala (Wuchang bream), 1173 nucleotides. RefSeq lists it as uncharacterized. The transcript is spliced from 2 exons. The record is from RefSeq and is a predicted model, not a curated record. Lineage: Eukaryota; Metazoa; Chordata; Actinopteri; Cypriniformes; Xenocyprididae.